UGUGCUGAAUACUGUAGGCAAUUAUGACAAAAUGGGUGUUGCCAAUGUGAAGGCAUUAAGAAGUGGAGCCUUUAAGAGGGAAACGGGAGCAGCCUCCACUGCUUACCUGUUCAAACCACCUUAAUUUGUGGCCUCUGGGGUGGAAGGCUCACAGCUGGACUACAUCUCCUAGGCUGUGUUUCAGCCAAUGGACUAUGGCCAAAAGCAGGGAAUGCCCCUUCCAGGCCUGGCCUAUAAAAAUCCCCCAUGUGCUCCUCUGUUCUCUCUUUGUCCACCUGCCAGCUGGACAUUGAUGCUCAAGGCAACCUUGGAGGUCAUGUGUUGAAGAUGGCAGUGUCUUUG
Molecule: long non-coding RNA, 342 nt
Filed under: Homo sapiens (human)
Lineage: Eukaryota; Metazoa; Chordata; Mammalia; Primates; Hominidae
Description: non-protein coding lnc-B3GNT10-5:2
Source: RNAcentral